UACUCCUUAACAGGGACCAUUUAAAGUCUAUCAUCUAGUGGACAUGACCAUAAAAAAAUUUUCCCACUAGGUUUUCUUUCUUUCUGCUACUUUGCUAGCAUUCAGCCUAUUGGGAACAUUU
Small nucleolar RNA from Neogale vison (American mink), 121 nucleotides. Lineage: Eukaryota; Metazoa; Chordata; Mammalia; Carnivora; Mustelidae. The record is from Ensembl.